CUGACAUGAGUAACGAUAAAGGGGGUGAAAAACCUCCUCGCCGGAAGACCAAGGGUUCCUGUCCAACGUUAAUCGGGGCAGGGUAAGUCGACCCCUAAGGCGAGGCCGAAAGGCGUAGUCGAUGGGAAACGGGUUAAUAUUCCCGUACUUCUUACAAUUGCGAUGGGGGGACGGAGAAGGCUAGGUGGGCCUGGCGACGGUUGUCCAGGUUCAAGUGCGUAGGCUUAAGAGUUAGGUAAAUCCGGCUCUUUUUAAGGCUGAGACACGACGUCGAGCCACUACGGUG
This 286-nucleotide ribosomal RNA is filed under the name Vibrio parahaemolyticus. RNAcentral's name for it is "partial 23S ribosomal RNA". It matches the Rfam family "Bacterial large subunit ribosomal RNA", at positions 1297 to 1584 of the family's 2925-position model. Lineage: Bacteria; Pseudomonadati; Pseudomonadota; Gammaproteobacteria; Vibrionales; Vibrionaceae. The record is from RNAcentral.